UCUUGCUAGCAGUUGAGCCAAAUCUGAGGU
This 30-nucleotide non-coding RNA is filed under the name Rattus norvegicus (Norway rat). The record is from RNAcentral. Lineage: Eukaryota; Metazoa; Chordata; Mammalia; Rodentia; Muridae.